RNAcentral lists this ribosomal RNA (466 nucleotides) under uncultured bacterium. RNAcentral's name for it is "partial 16S ribosomal RNA". It matches the Rfam family "Bacterial small subunit ribosomal RNA", at positions 28 to 507 of the family's 1533-position model. The record is from RNAcentral.
GAUGAACGCUGGCGGCGUGCUUAACACAUGCAAGUCGAACGGAAAGGCCCAAGCUUGCUUGGGUACUCGAGUGGCGAACGGGUGAGUAACACGUGGGUGAUCUGCCCUGCACUUCGGGAUAAGCCUGGGAAACUGGGUCUAAUACCGGAUAGGACCACAUUUUGGAUGGUGUGGUGGAAAGUUUUUCGGUGUGGGAUGAGCUCGCGGCCUAUCAGCUUGUUGGUGGGGUAAUGGCCUACCAAGGCGUCGACGGGUAGCCGGCCUGAGAGGGUGUACGGCCACAUUGGGACCGAGAUACGGCCCAGACUCCUACGGGAGGCAGCAGUGGGGAAUAUUGCACAAUGGGCGCAAGCCUGAUGCAGCGACGCCGCGUGGGGGAUGACGGCCUUCGGGUUGUAAACUCCUUUCGCUAGGGACGAAGCGUUAUGUGACGGUACCUGGAGAAGAAGCACCGGCUAACUACGUG